UGCCGGAGUGGCGGAACUGGCAGACGCGGCGGACUCAAAAUCCGCAGGGGUUCAGAGCUCCGUGUGGGUUCGACUCCCACCCCCGGCACCAU
RNAcentral lists this transfer RNA (92 nucleotides) under Caldisericum exile AZM16c01. Its description in RNAcentral is "tRNA-Leu". It matches the Rfam family "tRNA". Rfam says of the family: Transfer RNA (tRNA) molecules are approximately 80 nucleotides in length. Their secondary structure includes four short double-helical elements and three loops (D, anti-codon, and T loops). The record is from RNAcentral. Lineage: Bacteria; Pseudomonadati; Caldisericota; Caldisericia; Caldisericales; Caldisericaceae.